CAGGCCUAACACAUGCAAGUCGAACGGGCACCUUCGGGUGUCAGUGGCAGACGGGUGAGUAACACGUGGGAACGUACCCUUCGGUUCGGAAUAACUCAGGGAAACUUGAGCUAAUACCGGAUACGCCCUUUUGGGGAAAGGUUUACUGCCGAAGGAUCGGCCCGCGUCUGAUUAGCUUGUUGGUGGGGUAACGGCCUACCAAGGCGACGAUCAGUAGCUGGUCUGAGAGGAUGAUCAGCCACACUGGGACUGAGACACGGCCCAGACUCCUACGGGAGGCAGCAGUGGGGAAUAUUGGACAAUGGGCGCAAGCCUGAUCCAGCCAUGCCGCGUGAGUGAUGAAGGCCUUAGGGUUGUAAAGCUCUUUUAUCCGGGACGAUAAUGACGGUACCGGAGGAAUAAGCCCCGGCUAACUUCGUGCCAGCAGCCGCGGUAAU
Molecule: ribosomal RNA, 437 nt
Filed under: uncultured bacterium
Lineage: Bacteria
Description: bacterial SSU rRNA
Rfam family: Bacterial small subunit ribosomal RNA
Source: RNAcentral